Molecule: ribosomal RNA, 484 nt
Filed under: uncultured bacterium
Lineage: Bacteria
Description: partial 16S ribosomal RNA
Rfam family: Bacterial small subunit ribosomal RNA
Source: RNAcentral
AUUGAACGCUGGCGGCAGGCCUAACACAUGCAAGUCGAGCGGAUGAAGGGAGCUUGCUCCUGGAUUCAGUGGCGGACGGGUGAGUAAUGCCUAGGAAUCUGCCUGGUAGUGGGGGAUAACGUCCGGAAACGGGCGCUAAUACCGCAUACGUCCUGAGGGAGAAAGUGGGGGAUCUUCGGACCUCACGCUAUCAGAUGAGCCUAGGUCGGAUUAGCUAGUUGGUGGGGUAAAGGCCUACCAAGGCGACGAUCCGUAACUGGUCUGAGAGGAUGAUCAGUCACACUGGAACUGAGACACGGUCCAGACUCCUACGGGAGGCAGCAGUGGGGAAUAUUGGACAAUGGGCGGAAGCCUGAUCCAGCCAUGCCGCGUGUGUGAAGAAGGUCUUCGGAUUGUAAAGCACUUUAAGUUGGGAGGAAGGGCAGUAAGUUAAUACCUUGCUGUUUUGACGUUACCAACAGAAUAAGCACCGGCUAACUUCGUG